This is a long non-coding RNA of Haplochromis burtoni (Burton's mouthbrooder), 1461 nucleotides long. RefSeq annotates it as thyroid hormone receptor beta. NCBI's taxonomy places the organism in Eukaryota, Metazoa, Chordata, Actinopteri, Cichliformes, Cichlidae. The record is from RefSeq and is a predicted model, not a curated record.
CUAACUGUUAGCGCAGUCAGCUCGCUGUCCAUCCCCACGCACGGGGCGAUCCGCGGUAACAGAGAUUUGCCGUGUUAAUGCAGUUAUGCCGUUAACGUCAUUUUAACCAGAUUAACGCUACCAGCAUUAAAAUAAUAAUCUCCAAAUGUUUUCUUUUUACCGAGCAGCUCCUCUUUGACAGCUGCCGUGUCCGUCUUGUGCUGCCUGCAGGUGAAGCGAUGGGCGAGGCAGAGUAACGCUGCGCAGAGACAAAAGUGGACGAAAGAGAGGCAAACUUGCAACUCCACAAGUAUAAUUACAACGUAACACAGACUAUAUCGAUAUAAACAAUGUUGUCAGAUCUUAUAUCUCGUAUAAAAAUAUAUCGAUAUAUUUAAAAACUCGAUAUAUCGCCCUGUCCUAGAUGCAGUACAUCCCAUGUCUCUGUUUUUGUUUUGCUUUCCUCUCAGACUGUUUAUGAAUACAAGUGCAUACACAGACACUGUACAGCCUUCAUAAUCAUAGUGUUGCAGGUGUCACGAUCAGUUCCAAUAAGUAAAGCCAGUAUACACAGUAGAAAUAACACCUGCAGUUUGCCUAAAACAGCGUGUGAAUGAAUGCAUGUGCAUGAAAUCUGUAGACACUACAUACUAAUCAGGGCUGUGCACUGUUGUUUUGAAUAGACGGCAGUAUUAAAACAAUUACUGUCUGUCAGAUGAAAGUGUGGCAGCAACGUUUCCCAGUGGAGAUGCAGAUGUGAAAAACACACAUACACACUCCUGUUUGCAGACACAACAUCAGCUGUAAGUCUGAUUACGAGUGAUUAGUGUUUCAUUGGAGAGGGAUGAUCACCACUGCCCUGCACUGAAUGUGUUCCUCUCACUCAUCAGACCAGCUUCUCUCCUGUAGGCGUCUUUCAUCUUUCCCCGUGAUCUCAGCAUGAAGUUAACAAAUGAUUUGUUUCUGCUUCCCUGCACAUGUUGUGUUGUCAUCACUAUGAUAUUCAUGGCCAUUGUUGACUUCAAGGCUGCAAACAGAGAAAAAAGACAAAUGGAUCCAUUGCAAGGCAGCCAGUCCAAAAAGGAAAUCCAAAUUAUAGAAGGGAAGAGCUUUCCCACAUUGUGUCUGCUUCAGCGUGAGGUUUGGAUUUCAACUGUACCUACGAUUUAGUUAAAUAUUUCAUUCCAAUGUUCAAAGCCUUACUGGGACCCUACUGGGAUUUCAUAGCUAGACUGUGAUUAUCAUCUUAGUUUGUCAUUACUCUCCCAAAUCUCAGUGUGUGUUUCCUUGUGUUUUCGUAGGUGUUUCUCUGGGGGAGCUCAGCAGCUCCUCAGCACGGCCCCGAGUCAGACUUGACUUAAUUUGGAACCCAGAGGUCUGAUGAGGCUCUGAGGAUGACGUCUUUGCCUUGAAGCCCCACCAGUAUGUCAGAGCCAGCAGAAAAAUGCUCCCCCCGCUGGAAAGAUGAGGCCAUUCAAAAUG